This 439-nucleotide ribosomal RNA is filed under the name uncultured bacterium. RNAcentral describes it as "partial 16S ribosomal RNA". It matches the Rfam family "Bacterial small subunit ribosomal RNA", at positions 339 to 795 of the family's 1533-position model. The record is from RNAcentral.
CUACGAGUUGCAGCAGUGAGGAAUAUUGCACAAUGGGGGGAACCCUGAUGCAGCAACGCCGCGUGGAGGAUGACGCAUUUCGGUGUGUAAACUCCUUUUAUAUGUCAAGAGAAUGACGGUAGCAUAUGAAUAAGCACCGGCUAACUCCGUGCCAGCAGUCGCGGUAAUACGGAGGGUGCAAGCGUUACUCGGAAUCACUGGGCGUAAAGGACGCGUAGGCGGGUUGGAAAGUCAGGUGUGAAAUCCUACAGCUUAACUGUAGAACUGCACUUGAAACUUCUAAUCUAGAGUAUGGGAGGGGGAGAUGGAAUUAGUGGUGUAGGGGUAAAAUCCGUAGAUAUCACUAGGAAUACCUAAAGCGAAGGCGAUCUCCUGGAACAUUACUGACGCUAAGGCGUGAAAGCGUGGGGAGCAAACAGGAUUAGAUACCCCCGUAGUC